Molecule: long non-coding RNA, 1745 nt
Organism: Nelumbo nucifera (sacred lotus)
Lineage: Eukaryota; Viridiplantae; Streptophyta; Magnoliopsida; Proteales; Nelumbonaceae
Source: RefSeq, a predicted model, not a curated record
AUAUAAUAUCCGAUUGCAAUCCGAUUCGAAUCCCAUGUAAAUCUCAUGGAUCCGAUUUGAAGUUCGUUAUAAACGAUCUACCUUAGAUCUGGAUUCGAUCGGUUUGCAAAGAAUCGAGAUCGGAUUUGCUCCUCAUACAGCCUGUCUAAAAGUGGCAACCGCUCAACGGUUCAAUUGGCUGUCGAGGAAGCCCCAUUUCAUUUCACUUCUAAAUUGUUUUAUUUAUAGAACAUUUGUUCUUCUGCAUUUUUUCCUCCUCCGCUGCCGGAAUCCAUUUGCAGGGUAGGGUUUCGUUUAAAUGCUGUAGGAGCACUCCAUUUCCCAACGCUCUAUUUGGUUUCUAUUUGUAAGUAGGUUUGUUUUGAGAGAGAAAAAAGAAACAGGCGAUCCGGAGUGAUCCACUUGCAGGGUAGGGUUUUGUUGAAAUGCUGUAGGAAUACUCCAUUUCCCAACGUUCUUUGAUUCCUAGUUGUAAGUAGGUUUAAGCUUUUGAGAGAGAGAAAAAAAAAGACGAUCCGGAAUGAUCCAUUUGCAGGGUAGGGUUUUUGUUGAAAUAGUUGGGAUGUGCUCCUCCGCUGCCAUGAAGCUUUCUGCAACUAGCACUGUCCAUAUAUACUAAUGGAAUUGUGCUCCACCAAGAACCAGCUUUUCGAAAUUUACAAAUCAUCUAUGGAUUGAAAAGCAUUACCAUCGAGCACUUUGCUUAUGCUUUGUUCUAUACAUGGAUAAUCUUCUUUGUAAAGUCAAGAAGAAAUGCAACAAAAAUAUAUGAGCCAGAACAGUGCUGCCUUGGAGUUGAUCAAUAAUGCCACUGGUGUUGAUGAGGAAGGUCAUGCUCACCAACAAAUUCUUUCUUAUGCUGUUAAAAGCAAAAAGAUACAGGUCAAUUUGACGGUCCUGCUGAUUGUUCUUGAAGGAUGUUCUAAUUUUCCUUAAAACAUCUGGUUUCAAAUUCUCGCUUUUUGGGGUCAUCUUCAAGAAAGAUGGUGGUGCUGCCAGCAUUAGUGAAGAUAGAAGGAACUGCAGUCUUAAACUGAAGGCUAGGAGGUUGAAGGAAGCACCAAGGGAGAUAAGGUUUGACAUAAGGUGGAAUAGCUUCUAUGUGAUGGUGGUAAUGGCAGAGUUAGCAAAGUGUCGAGUGAGAGGAAGAUACGAACUGGGGGUUGAUUCUUGAGUUCUACACUCUUCUUUUCCUCUUUCUUCGCUCAUAUGGCGAAUCAAAUCGAAUGCAGUUCAGUUGAAGACGCCGGUGGUUUCUUACUUGCUAUAUGGUCUGCCGUCCAACUUAGAACAUGCCAACCCGCCCUUCUAGUGAAGCAUUCACGUGGAAGUCGAAAAACAACCAUCUUCGCAAGAUUAUCCAAUCAAACCAUCUUUGCAAUGGUUGCUUUGGCUUUUAGUCGGGCUUUGCUUCAUCACUCAGGGCUCAGGGGCAAGGUUCAAACUAUCAGCACGUGAGAUAUGCAAAAAUUGCGUAUCUUGUUUUCGGAGGAGCGAUACUCCCUGUUAAGAAUGGUUCCAUGAGUAAAGUUUCGAAACCAUGGCAAGCACAAGGGGGCUAAUUGUUGGUGAAGACCGUUUGAGCAUUGCACUUUACCGGCCUGAUUUUAUCUUUUGAUAAAGCACAUACCCAUCCUACUCUUAGUAAGGAGAACAUCCUUUGAUGCAACAUCAUUGUUUCAUUCAGAUUCAUGAAUAAUGUUGAAAUGAAUUUAUUUUAAUUCCUCGUUUCAUUUCGUCUUUUA